Molecule: long non-coding RNA, 4387 nt
Filed under: Mytilus galloprovincialis (Mediterranean mussel)
Lineage: Eukaryota; Metazoa; Mollusca; Bivalvia; Mytilida; Mytilidae
Source: RNAcentral
CCCGGAACAACAAAUGAACAUGUAACAGCAGAAAUAUUAAUAUAAAAGAAUCACAAUCUUCUGUUCAGAAUUAGUUAUACACUUUCGUACAGCUUACAAGUAUAUCUUGCGAUAUCCAGCUACUGUGACGUUAUGAACAUGCUUGCUACAUUGUCGCUAUUAGUUAUAUUGUCAUUUAGUAAGCAAGUCUUGGGUGAAUCCGGUAAGUAGCAUCUUAUAAUAUUAACUGCUAUUAUCGCUGUUUUGUGUAUUUUUGCUUUGAUCUCAUCUAUGAUAAUUUUUCAUAUCGUUAUACUCGCUUACGAUAGACAAUUAUCUCUAGAAACUAAGGGCCCACGUGCCGUUAUCAAUGAAAACAUCACCGACGUCAUAGGCAAAAUAGCGAUAAACAGAUUAUCAAUGGUCUUUUAAACUCGAGGAUGUUUCUUGCAUCUCAUCUCUGGGAUGUCGCCCUUCGAAAAGAUUGUACCUGAGAAACACCCCCUCGUUUGAAAAAACAUCGAUUAUCUAUAAUUACGAACCAUUAAAAUGAUUGUAAGAUUACUGACCAGUUUGAUAAUCAAAUGUUGGGCUUUCCACAAAAAAGAUAUCUUUUUCUAAACAUGCGUAAUACGUCUUCCGAUUUUCGAAAUUGCAUGACCAGCAAAUUAGAUGCCAGGCUUCUUAAUGUAGUGCUUUUUUUUUUAAACUAAACACGUACCAAUUUGUAAUUGACAAAUGCCCACGGAAGGAAAAUGUCUAUAGUUAAAUUGUACAUCUGCUGACGCUUGAUUCAUAAUCACAAGACACUAUUGUACAAAGAUGCAACUACGUCGAUAUGUUAUUGAAAAUAUUUAAUGUGUUUGUACAAUUCAAAAAUUGAUGGAGUUCAGAUUUGUAUCAGAGAAAUAGUUUGUACAUGUUUAAUCAAAUUGUCAUUCUUACCCAAGCUUUGCAGUGCAACUAAAACUCGGAGUCUUGUCAAGCUCACUUGUAAUUAAUUACUCUAGUAGGUGAAAUUCGUACAAAGUAAAGAAAAGAAUGGUCCGGAAUAAAAAUCGUACUAAAAAUACAGAUGGUUCCGAUUGAAAGUUUUGUACUACAGUGAGGAAGUUUUAAGUCCGAAAAAACCCAAGACUUUACGAAGUUGAAACAUGUAAAAGCUAAAUGCAAUCAUAGUUGGUAGAAUUCUUUCAUUGAAAUUAGACUGAUUUUUAUAUACUAAUUCAAUAACUGUAAUAUCACAUUGGCAGACCAAACAGACUGAUUCUGAUUUGUAACUUUGGGAUCAUAGAAAUACAGAUUGUCCCUUCUUCAUUUUUAAAGCAUGUAACGUUAAAUAAAGUAAGAGUACGAUACACUUUUGCAGUUUUCAGCGCUCCACUCCAGUUCCUUGAAUGGCCAAAAUUUUGAGCCUACAAAUAAAGCAUGUACAUAGUUUUUAUAGAUAGUGUAUUCGCUAACUUAAUAUUUUAUGCAUACAGAUUUAAAAGAGUGCUUUGACUUCUGCAGUGUGAAACCAGCAGGUAAAUGCUUUUUGUUAUAACGGACAAAAUAUUUUCAUUUAUAGAGUUCUAGAUUCAAUUUUAUAAUAUAUUAUGUUAUAUAUUAUUGUAACUUAGCAUCUAAAUUAAUUAGAUUGAUACAUACAAAAUAUAUUCUACUCUAAUAACAUUCUGUAAUGCUUACAAAAGUAAUAUACACACAGAUACUUUUUGCACGAAAUUGUUUUAACAAUUCAGUAUCAGAAAAAAAACGGUUAAACUUAACUUAAGUUGAAAGUCGUUCUAUUUGCAGCCAAGCAGGAAAGCAUUUUGCAUCAGUAUGUUAAAAACGAUUGUUAAUUAAUCAAAAGACGUUUUUAUUUUCUAUUUUUAUUAAUAUAUAUGCAUAAAUACGUUUAAAAAUUGAUUAUUUAAAUUGUAAAGGUCAUCUUUUGUUUUUGCAGGUCUUGAACGGUCCAAGUGCAUUCGGGAGAAUUGCAGCUGUAAGUUAGUUAUCCAUAUUGCUAACCCUAAAGUAUCCACAUGUUUUAGUAAAUAAGUACUACGAAAAAUGUAUUCGUAUGGUAGAAAAAUAAACAAUGGUGACGCUGUCGAUUUGUAAUAUAUAACGUUAUAUACCGGUUCACUUUUGAAGGAACCGUAUUUGGUUUUAUUAUGUUCUAGAAAUCCCAAAAGCAAAUAAAUUGUUAUACAUACAUUAUGUACAUGUGUGAUUGAAUUGAAUUUAUUUACAAUGCCCGGUUAAGGUAAUCAAAUCCCCUACACGCAUACUCCUGUUUCUGUUUUCUUCCAUGAAUACCACUCGUAGACUAGAAAUGUAACAAAUUUAUUAAAAAAAUAAUACCUUUCAGAAGAAAAAAAAAUGAAUGACUAUGUGAAUUGUAGCACGCGUUUGUCCGCUUACAUCAUUUAUGUCACACAUUCUGAAAUAUCUGGCCCAAUAUGAUAUGAUAUAAUAUCAGUUCUAUUUUGUAGAUAAGUUAUGUGUGGAGUUUUGUAAUACCCUCCCAAAAGGUAACAAUGUUGUUAGAUUUAUUCUCUAAUGCAUAUUUCUGAAAUUUGAUAAUAAUAUAAGUCUACGAUGUAUCAAGUAAUUCAUUAGAACACAAAAAAUGUAAACGAUAACUUAUUACACGACGUCUUAAUUUGGGUAAAUUCUAAGAAUAAAAAUAUUAACAAACCAAAAUUGUUCAACUCAAUUUUUCAGUUUAAGAAGUUAUUGUUUGUUUAUUAUUGUUUACUGACAAACAGCUUAUUUCUUAAAAGCUACAGUUUUCAUCCUAAUUAUGUAAUGCAUAAACCUUAAUCAUUGUCUGUUUUCUUUAUUUAAAAUUGCAGGAAAGGAGUUUGGUCAAUGCAUUACCGGUUGCAGGUAAGAACAUUCGGGAAUACACUGAAAACUGCUUAAGUUCCCUUCCAAACUCUGUGAUAAUAGAUAAAGGCCUAAACAUAAUUAAACCUGAAUUCCUCGUAAUCAGUGAUUGUAAUUUUUAUUUUUAAACUUAUUACAUGUUUGAUGUUAGAAUUUAAGCAAGGUCCAUAAAACAAUAGAUACAUAUAUUUACAUAUGAAAUUGCAAUGAUUAGACGUAUGACAUGAAACUACGUUUCUUUACAGAUGAAGUUCUCAAUUUAGGCAUUCGGACAAGACACAUAACUUACAAGUUUAUUUAAAACAUAUCAUUUCGUAUUUGUGAUAGGCGAUUUGAAAUAUUUUAAAUUAGGGUUAUAUUAGACAUGUUAGAGGAAAGGCCUUUUCUGUUAAAUGGGAUAUGAGGGGGGAUAGGACCUUUAUCGGGACUCCGGGAUCGGGUGUUUUUUAAGCUCGGGAUUUCGGGAUUGACCCUUUCGGGAUCCGGGAAUUCUUUUUUUCGGAUUUCGGGACGUCGGGAUUUACUUUAUUUAAAUUCGGGACCUCGGGAUUUCGUUUUUUUAAGUUCGGGAUUUCGGGAUCAGGACCCCUCCUAUCCCCCUCGUCAAAUGUAAAACGUGCUACAUCUACCAUUAGAAAUACAAUAGUUACAAGCCUAAUAAGUCAGUUUUUAAAGUUUUUAAAAUGAAAGGCCUUUCCAUACAACUUUGAUAUAUAAAAUAAAAUAAAAAUGAAAAUUUAGCUUUAUACCUUCAAUGGACCUUAAAUGAGAUGAGGCUAAUAAGGGCUCUAGUCAUUCCUGGUCUUUAAAAAAAAACCAAAAAAAAAACAUGCUAUCUUCAUUACGUAGGUUUGCAGUGUUGCUUAUCGGAAUUUCUUACAAUAUUAUAUAACCGUUACGUGGUAUCAUUCCGCUGUUAGUGCAGUGUUAAGGGGGUAGACCUUGGUUAAGGGAGAUAGCUCUUAAAUCAGUUAAGAGUUUGUAAAAGUCAAGUUUCAUCAUUGUAUUUUAAGCAUUUACAUGAAACAGAUUGGAAAUAAUCCAUGUAACCUUGAAGCUUAGAAUAUAUUUAUGAAAAUGGUUGACACAAACUUACUGAUGAUUUUAGAGUUAUUUCCCUUAACCUAGGUCUACCUCCUUAAAUGUCUAUAAUAAAGUCGUCUCAGCUUCAUAUCAUCAAUCUCAAUUAUUAAAUAGUUUGAACACUUAUAUUCUUCAAUUGUCUAUUGAUUAUGUGUAAAAGAUGAAAUACCUCUCAAUUAGAUUUUGUUAUAUAUUAUUCAUAUAUAUUGUAACGUUUUUCCCAGGUAUGUAUAAGUUCAACCUGUUAUGAAUUAGAUAUCAUGUAAAUCAAUUUGGCAAGGUCAUUCAAUGUUGUUAAAAUAUUGUGUUCAUGUUUUAUUGAAGCUAUUCAAUAUAUAAAAAAUAUUCUUCUAAUAAAUAUUUCUUUUCUAUUUUAAUUUAGACCCUGAAAAUAAAGAGAAAAGCUGUGAAAUAUUAAAAUGAAAUAAAAUAGGCAUACCUACAACAU